Molecule: long non-coding RNA, 2577 nt
Organism: Heterocephalus glaber (naked mole-rat)
Lineage: Eukaryota; Metazoa; Chordata; Mammalia; Rodentia; Bathyergidae
Source: Ensembl
AGCGGUUUCAAAAAUAUUUUAUUGUCUGGAAUAGCUGUAAUGUCUCAGCUCCAUCCUCACAGCCUCCCUGCACACACGGAGGCGGAAGCGAUGACAGGACAACACCGAGGCAUCAAAAUUCACACCUGCAGAACGGGACGACAGCGGCGGUGUGGAGGAAGAGUGUAGAAAAAGCUCACCAGGGCACAGACCAACAGGACGAGGGGCGGGUGCUGCUGGGGGCACCGCAGCACGGAUGUUCACAUGGACUUUACAGCUCCACAUGGAGACCUCCUUCAUUCUGCUGUCAGCCAAGCACAGGGCAGGGAGGUCUGGGGUCCUUCCUGGUAGCCAGAGGAGUCUCACACAGGAUGCACUGGAGAAAGUGCCUUAUGCAUAGGUUCGCGUUCCAAAGGAACUAAAUGCUGGAUAUGCUACUAGAAUGUCCCAGAGCCCUCUCAUUGCACCUGCAAAAUCUCUAGUCCACCAUUUCACAGGGUGAUUCUCUGCUUCUAAGACACGGUCUCUCCUCUUUGCAAGAUGACACCAGAACAUCCUAGGUAACUCGGCUGGAGGAACCCAGGGAGCCCCUUGGGUGUCUUUUUCCCAGCCGGCUGCUUGCUCUGCACACAUGAGGAGGCCGGGACCACUGGCUGGGAUUGGCAUUGGCGCGUGGCGUGGCUUGCAUCUGAGAAUGACGUGGGGUAGGUCCCCAGCGGCACCUACCCUGGCGAUGGCAUCGUUAGAAGGUGACGGUCCUCCAGGGGGGCCCAUCCAGCCAGGGGUGCAGGUCAACACUCCCCCUGGCCUGACCCUCGGACGACAAUGGGACCCAGGGAUGUUGUCACUAUGCACAAGGAUGAGGCUGAGGACGCUGUCACAGCAGAGAGAGCCAGGCAGCUGGGCAGGGGUGGCCAGCGGUGACCAGAGGCUGGAUGGAGGUUGGGGAUCCCCACAUGGCCCCCCGAGGUGAACUGCCCAGGAGCCUGAUCUCUUGGUCAUGGCUUGGCAAGAUGGGUGAAGGGGGAGAGGGCCUUAAUCCUCAGCAACAGUCACCCACCCUUCUCCCCCGUAGUGCAGCUGGGGUGGCGUGCUGGUUGGGUAGCCCCAGAGGAGGGUUGGGCUGCUUGCGACCUCCAAGGGCCUGAGCUGCCUGUUGGAGCCAUGGUCUACUGGUGGUCUGGCGCCCUGGCUUGACCUGGUGGGCAGGAUGACAGAAGGCUUCACUGCCACCAGAGCUCUCUGUCCCUUCAGAGACCCUAGAAGACGGAAGAGAAGGAAAGAAAAUAUGAGUGUUUCGUCUCUUUAAGGCUACCAAGAGCUCAUUUUUCCCAGUGCCCUGUUCUUGUCUGCUGUCAUCACAUUCUAAUGGUAGGACUCAGGGGUCCCUGCAGAAAUGGCCAAAAAUCCAUGUGAUGAAGAUUUGGUCCCUGGGGUGUCUCUAUUGGCAGGUACUGCAACUUUCAAAAGGCAGAGCCUAGUAGGAGGAAGUGAGGUCACUGGGGGCAUGGCCUGGAUUCCAGUCUCUUCCUCCUCUGUGCUUCCUGAGCAUGAGGGGAGCAGUAUUUCACCGCAAUGUGCCACCGGCCAGGGCCCAGGGACAGUGGAGACACUGGACCACAGAUGGAGGCCUCUGAAAGUAUGAGCCAAAAAAUACUUUCCUCACAAGGAGAUCAUAUCCAGUACUUUGUCCCAGUCCCUGAAUGCUGACUCACAUUUCUAGUACCAGGGUCAGGAGAUACGAGAUGUGACGUAGCCAAGCAUGGUGGCCUGUGGACAGGGGCUGAUGCAGGAGGACCACAAGUUGGAGUUCCACCUGGGCAAGUUAACAAGACCUUCUCAAAACAUGACAAAAGUUGAGUUGAUUGACUAAUUUUAAAAUGCUGGUGAUGGGACUCAGCAGAAGUGUGACCCUGGGUGCAAUUCUCAAUGCUGAUUUUUAAAAAAGGAGGAGGAGGAGAUGGAGAAGAAGGAGAUGGAGGAGGAGAUGGAGGAGGAGAUGGAGGAGGAGGAGCAGAUGGAGGAGGAGGAGAUGGAGGAGGAGGAGACAGAGGAGGAGAUGGAGGAGGAGAUGGAGGAGGAGGAGGUGGAGGAGGAGAUGGAGGAGGAGGAGAUGGAGGAGGAGAUGGAGGAGGAGGAGAUGGAGGAGGAGAUGGAGGAGGAGGAGAUGGAGGAGGAGAUGGAGGAGGAGGUGGAGGAGGUGGAGGAGGAGGAGAUGGAGGAGGAGAUGGAGGAGGAGGAGAUGGAGGAGGAGAUGGAGGAGGAGGAGAUGGAGCAGAGCUGAAGCAGAAGAGGAAGAGAAGAAGGAAAAGAAAGAGAAGAAAGAGACAGAGAAGGAGGAGAAGGUGAAGAAAAGCGAAGAAAGAAGAAGAGGAAUAGGAGGCAGCAGUGGAGGAAUAGGAGGCAGGCACGUCCCUGAGCAGUCUUGUGGUACCAGAAAGCAAGGAAAUGUUCAAACACGAAAAGACAGGGUGGCAGAAGUCACCCUGAAGGAGCUCUCGGUGGCUAAAUCUGGAGUGAUUCCAACAAGAAUAUAAAAUAAAAUUGGAUUGUAACCCAGAGUACAAAAUCAAUAUGCAUUUAAUUAAAUGGCUGAAU